AGGGUGCAGGGCGGAUGCCUUGGCACUAGGAGCCGAUGAAGGACGUGAUAAGCUGCGAUAAGCUUCGGGGAGUUGCACGUAAACUUUGAUCCGAAGAUUUCCGAAUGAGGAAACUCACUUAGAGUAAUGUCUAAGUAUCAUUAAGUGAAUACAUAGCUUAAUGAGGGGAACUCAGGGAACUGAAACAUCUAAGUACCUGAAGGAAGAGAAAGAAAUUCGAUUCCGUAAGUAGCGGCGAGCGAACGCGGAUUAGCCCAAACCAAUAAAGUUUUCUUUAUUGGGGUUGCGGACAUAUCAUAACGAAGAGGUAUCGUAAUUGAAGAGGUUUGGAAAGACCCACCACAGAAGGUAAUAGUCCUGUAUGUUAAACGAGAAGACUUUAGAUAUGAUCCAGAGUACCACGGGACACGUGAAACCCUGUGGGAAGCAGGAGGGACCACCCUCCAAGGCUAAAUACUACCUAGUGACCGAUAGCGUAUAGUACCGUGAGGGAAAGGUGAAAAGAACCCCGGGAGGGGAGUGAAAUAGAACCUGAAACCCUGCACUUACAAGCUGUGGAAGCACAUUUCUUGUGUGACCGCGUACUUUUUGUAGAACGGGCCAACGAGUUACGUUAAGUAGCAAGGUUAAGCACUUAAGGUGCGGAGCCGUAGCGAAAGCGAGUUUUAACUGAGCGUUCAGUUACUUGACGUAGACCCGAAACCGGGCGACCUACCCAUGAGCAGGAUGAAGCGAAAGUAAAAUUUCGUGGAGGUCCGAACCCACGAGCGUUGAAAAGCUCGGGGAUGACUUGUGGGUAGCGGUGAAAUUCCAAUCGAGCCCGGAGAUAGCUGGUUCUCCCCGAAAUAGCUUUAGGGCUAGCCUCAAGGUGAGAGAUACGGAGGUAGAGCACUGAAUGUCCUAGGGGGUAUUGCACCUACCGAAGACUAUCAAACUCCGAAUGCCGUCAUCUUAUACUUGGGAGUCAGACUGUGGGUGAUAAGAUUCAUAGUCGAAAGGGCAACAGCCCAGAUCGUCAGCUAAGGUCCCUAAAUGUAAGUUAAGUGGUAAAGGAUGUGGGAUUGCACAGACAACCAGGAUGUUGGCUUAGAAGCAGCCACUCAUUCAAAGAGUGCGUAAUAGCUCACUGGUCGAGUGAUCCUGCGCCGAAGAUUUCCGGGGCUAAAACUUACUACCGAAGCUACGGCAUCAGUAAUGAUGGGUAGGGGAGCUUCCCAUACGGGUUGAAGCAUGACCGUAAGGACAUGUGGACAGUAUGGGAGUGAGAAUGUUGGCAUGAGUAGCGAGAUGUGGGUGAGAAUCCCACAGGCCGUAAACCCAAGGUUUCCAGGGGAAGGUUCGUCCGCCCUGGGUUAGUCGGGACCUAAGCUGAGGCCGAAAGGCGUAGGUGAUGGACAACAGGUUGAUAUUCCUGUACUACCGAUAACCGUUUGAGAGAAGGGAUGACACAGUAGGAUAAGCUAAGCACACUGUUGGUUAUGUGUGCCCAAGCAUUGAGGCAGUCAAAGUAGGCAAAUCCGCUUUGAUAAUGCUGGGAUGUGAUGGGGAGCGAAAUUUAGUAGCGAAGUAGCUGAUUUCACACUGUCAAGAAAAGUCUCUAUCGAGGUUAAAGGUACCCGUACCGCAAACCGACACAGGUGGGUGAGGAGAGUAUCCUAAGGCCAGCGAGAGAACUGUUGUUAAGGAACUCGGCAAAAUGACCCCGUAACUUAGGGAUAAGGGGUGCCACCAUCAGGUGGCCGCAGAGAAUAGGCCCAAGCGACUGUUUACCAAAAACAUAGGUUUCUGCUAAGUCGCAAGACGAUGUAUAGGAGCUGACGCCUGCCCGGUGCUGGAAGGUUAAGGGGAUCUGUUAGAGCAAUCGAAGCAGUGAACUUAAGCCCCAGUAAACGGCGGCCGUAACUAUAACGGUCCUAAGGUAGCGAAAUUCCUUGUCGGGUAAGUUCCGACCCGCACGAAAGGCGUAACGAUUUGGGCACUGUCUCAACAACAGACUCGGUGAAAUUGUAAUUCCGGUGAAGAUGCCGGAUACCUGCGACAGGACGGAAAGACCCCAUGGAGCUUUACUGUAGCUUGACAUUGGGUCUUGGUACUACAUGUACAGGAUAGGUGGGAGGCUUUGAAACCAGGACGCCAGUUUUGGCGGAGCCAUCCUUGGGAUACCACCCUUGUAGUACUGGGACUCUAACCAUAGGCCAUGAAUCUGGUCUUGGGACACUGUCAGGUGGGCAGUUUGACUGGGGCGGUCGCCUCCCAAAAGGUAACGGAGGCGCUCAAAGGUUCUCUCAGUACGGUCGGAAAU
This 2302-nucleotide ribosomal RNA is filed under the name Clostridioides difficile. Its description in RNAcentral is "bacterial LSU rRNA". It matches the Rfam family "Bacterial large subunit ribosomal RNA", at positions 14 to 2338 of the family's 2925-position model. Lineage: Bacteria; Bacillati; Bacillota; Clostridia; Peptostreptococcales; Peptostreptococcaceae. The record is from RNAcentral.